RNAcentral lists this transfer RNA (73 nucleotides) under Orbicella faveolata. RNAcentral's name for it is "tRNA-Leu". It matches the Rfam family "tRNA". From Rfam's summary of the family: Transfer RNA (tRNA) molecules are approximately 80 nucleotides in length. Their secondary structure includes four short double-helical elements and three loops (D, anti-codon, and T loops). Lineage: Eukaryota; Metazoa; Cnidaria; Anthozoa; Scleractinia; Merulinidae. The record is from RNAcentral.
GGCAGUGUGGCCGAGUGGUUAGGGCGCCGGACUUAAAAUCCGGAGGUCGCGGGUUUAAGUCCCGCUCUGACCA